This 485-nucleotide ribosomal RNA is filed under the name uncultured bacterium. RNAcentral's name for it is "bacterial SSU rRNA". It matches the Rfam family "Bacterial small subunit ribosomal RNA", at positions 30 to 508 of the family's 1533-position model. The record is from RNAcentral.
AUUGAACGCUGGCGGCAGGCCUAACACAUGCAAGUCGAGCGGAUGAAGAGAGCUUGCUCUCUGAUUCAGCGGCGGACGGGUGAGUAAUGCCUAGGAAUCUGCCUGGUAGUGGGGGACAACGUUUCGAAAGGAACGCUAAUACCGCAUACGUCCUACGGGAGAAAGCAGGGGACCUUCGGGCCUUGCGCUAUCAGAUGAGCCUAGGUCGGAUUAGCUAGUUGGUGAGGUAAUGGCUCACCAAGGCGACGAUCCGUAACUGGUCUGAGAGGAUGAUCAGUCACACUGGAACUGAGACACGGUCCAGACUCCUACGGGAGGCAGCAGUGGGGAAUAUUGGACAAUGGGCGAAAGCCUGAUCCAGCCAUGCCGCGUGUGUGAAGAAGGUCUUCGGAUUGUAAAGCACUUUAAGUUGGGAGGAAGGGCAGUAAGUUAAUACCUUGCUGUUUUGACGUUACCGACAGAAUAAGCACCGGCUAACUUCGUGC